This 1299-nucleotide ribosomal RNA is filed under the name Bacillus subtilis. Its description in RNAcentral is "bacterial SSU rRNA". It matches the Rfam family "Bacterial small subunit ribosomal RNA", at positions 106 to 1391 of the family's 1533-position model. Lineage: Bacteria; Bacillati; Bacillota; Bacilli; Caryophanales; Bacillaceae. The record is from RNAcentral.
GUGAAAACACGUGGGUAACCUGCCUGUAAGACUGGGAUAACUCCGGGAAACCGGGGCUAAUACCGGAUGGUUGUUUGAACCGCAUGGUUCAAACAUAAAAGGUGGCUUCGGCUACCACUUACAGAUGGACCCGCGGCGCAUUAGCUAGUUGGUGAGGUAACGGCUCACCAAGGCAACGAUGCGUAGCCGACCUGAGAGGGUGAUCGGCCACACUGGGACUGAGACACGGCCCAGACUCCUACGGGAGGCAGCAGUAGGGAAUCUUCCGCAAUGGACGAAAGUCUGACGGAGCAACGCCGCGUGAGUGAUGAAGGUUUUCGGAUCGUAAAGCUCUGUUGUUAGGGAAGAACAAGUACCGUUCGAAUAGGGCGGUACCUUGACGGUACCUAACCAGAAAGCCACGGCUAACUACGUGCCAGCAGCCGCGGUAAUACGUAGGUGGCAAGCGUUGUCCGGAAUUAUUGGGCGUAAAGGGCUCGCAGGCGGUUUCUUAAGUCUGAUGUGAAAGCCCCCGGCUCAACCGGGGAGGGUCAUUGGAAACUGGGGAACUUGAGUGCAGAAGAGGAGAGUGGAAUUCCACGUGUAGCGGUGAAAUGCGUAGAGAUGUGGAGGAACACCAGUGGCGAAGGCGACUCUCUGGUCUGUAACUGACGCUGAGGAGCGAAAGCGUGGGGAGCGAACAGGAUUAGAUACCCUGGUAGUCCACGCCGUAAACGAUGAGUGCUAAGUGUUAGGGGGGUUUCCGCCCCUUAGUGCUGCAGCUAACGCAUUAAGCACUCCGCCUGGGGAGUACGGUCGCAAGACUGAAACUCAAAGGAAUUGACGGGGGCCCGCACAAGCGGUGGAGCAUGUGGUUUAAUUCGAAGCAACGCGAAGAACCUUACCAGGUCUUGACAUCCUCUGACAAUCCUAGAGAUAGGACGUCCCCUUCGGGGGCAGAGUGACAGGUGGUGCAUGGUUGUCGUCAGCUCGUGUCGUGAGAUGUUGGGUUAAGUCCCGCAACGAGCGCAACCCUUGAUCUUAGUUGCCAGCAUUCAGUUGGGCACUCUAAGGUGACUGCCGGUGACAAACCGGAGGAAGGUGGGGAUGACGUCAAAUCAUCAUGCCCCUUAUGACCUGGGCUACACACGUGCUACAAUGGACAGAACAAAGGGCAGCGAAACCGCGAGGUUAAGCCAAUCCCACAAAUCUGUUCUCAGUUCGGAUCGCAGUCUGCAACUCGACUGCGUGAAGCUGGAAUCGCUAGUAAUCGCGGAUCAGCAUGCCGCGGGGAAUACGUCCCCGGGCUUUGUACACACC